This 1397-nucleotide long non-coding RNA is filed under the name Malus domestica (apple). Its description in RNAcentral is "long non-coding RNA (MDOM_LNC009517)". Lineage: Eukaryota; Viridiplantae; Streptophyta; Magnoliopsida; Rosales; Rosaceae. The record is from RNAcentral.
CAUUUUCACAUGCUAGGGCUUCUAGUGUGUGUGUGUGUGUGUGUGUGUAUUUAGGGUUGUUUCCUGCAAAUUAACCUUUUAACAUUGAUGACGUGAAUUGCACGUCGGAGAUGUUCAAUUUUUUACUUCUAGAGCUGAGAUUAGUGUUGAUUUUUCUUCUUUUUCCGCCUUAGUUUUAUUUUCGUUGUUUAAUUAAUAUGCAUUUGGUAUGAAUCCUCCAGUAUUUGGAGGAGUGCUCACCCAAAUUCAUUGUUUUUUGCCCCUAUUUUAAAGAAAUUUUCUCCUUGUUUUUCUCAUAAAAUAAACAUUGAUGACAUGAAUAUUUAGUCUACGACCAUGUACAUUUACUAAUUAAAGGAAAGGACUGCUAACUACUAGUACCUUCCACUAUGAGUAAGUGGAAAGUGGCAAUGUGAUGGGUAGGGAAAGAGGAGUAUAUGCUUUUGGUAACCAAAUGAUUGUUAGUUGCCCUACUUACACAGACUAUGACAUUCAUUUCCACAUUAAUAAAAAUGAGCUACCAACUCGUAUGUCUUCAAAUAUUUUGUGCAAACCAAACGCACAAAGCAAUCAGUGCAAUCAGUGAACAAAAAGUUGUGAUGGGUGGUCCUAUGCUUUCAUUGUAGAAUCAAAACGUGUCCAAGGCACAGUUAGGGAAAUUGUUUUAUGAUGCCUGAUUCAUUAAUUGAAUGCACAUUGCAUGAUUGUAGUGUCAAAAUGUGUCCAAGGUACAGGUUGGGAAGUUGUUUUGUUAUAGUUAGUCGUUAAUUUAAUAUACAAUUGCACGAUUUUGAAUUAUUUUGUUCUUAUGGCAAUGAGAACAACGUUUUAGAUAUGAUAUUCUAAUCUAAGGAAUGUUGGAGAUUAAGCUUGCUGAAGGAUCAAAGAUGGCUUGGAUUUCAAGUUUUCUGUCAAAGUUCAAGUUUAUGUUUUUAGUUAUAGCUAGAAGCCUAGAACAAUCGGUCACAAUGUAUGACUGAGAUUAAAACAUCUUAACUGCUUGUUUUGUGCCACCUGUUAUUUUCUGCUAAGAGUUUUAGUGGUGCAUGUGCCUCUCACAUGGGGUACGUUAGUCACUCGGCACGUGUGUAUCACGUGUAGCCUAACGGCUAGAUUCUUCUUUGUAUUCCCUCACACUUCUUGUGUGAAUGGGUAGAGGAUUGUGUGUGUGCAAGCAUUGAGAAAGCAACGUACUCUCUGCAGCAUAUCUCCAUUGCUCUCAACAUUCAUUCUUUUCUAGUCGAAUCCAAUUUUCACCAAAAUAACCAUUUUAAAGUAAAAUCAACAAGGAAUUAGUAUAUUCCUGACCACAUUUGUCUCUCGCCACGACCCUUUAGGACCCUAGGAGGUAGAUUCUCUGCCGUCCCUUCCCAUGCCCUCGCGUGCCCUCCUGUUUU